GGAGAAUUGGGCGAAGUCAGCGGUCUUGAAAACCGUACUGCCAGUGAUGGUAGCAGAGGCUCAAAUCCUCUAUUCUCCG
This is a transfer RNA of 79 nucleotides. It matches the Rfam family "tRNA". From Rfam's summary of the family: Transfer RNA (tRNA) molecules are approximately 80 nucleotides in length. Their secondary structure includes four short double-helical elements and three loops (D, anti-codon, and T loops).